Molecule: long non-coding RNA, 1196 nt
Organism: Amphiprion ocellaris (clown anemonefish)
Lineage: Eukaryota; Metazoa; Chordata; Actinopteri; Pomacentridae
Source: Ensembl
ACUGAACUCAUUUGGAUAUAUUUAAGUGAGACUCUACAAUAUUAUUUGACACAAAUCUAUCUAAAUCAAAAUUUUAAUAAUUUUCACGCCAAACAUUUACUGGACUGAUUUAAAUAUUAAAAUCACUCCUUUCUAAUCCUCUGCUGUACGUUCAAACCUGAGGCCUUAAAUAGAAACACACAAGUAUCUGUUUGAAGGAACUUCUGCAGAGUCCUGGUUCCAGAACAUGAUGAUAGAAUUAUAGACAAACUUUAACAAAAGCUGCCUGAGAGUUUACAGGUUUUUAUGUUGGAUUUCUUCAGUAAUUUAAUGAGAGUUAUCAGCAAUAAUCAAGUGUUCAUUUGAUGAACUUCAUUUCCUAAAACAUCCAGAAUUGGAGCUCAUAUCUUUGGCAGCUGUAAAGUUUCUGCUCCUUCAAAGUUCACAACACAAUGAAUGAAUUCCUAAAACACUCUCAAUGCUGGAGAGCGUUUGAUGCUGAAGCAGUGACCAGUUUUUCUGUUUCUUCUCUGGAGAUGCACAAUGAGGGACGUCUGCAGAGACUGAGAAAGAGUCUCACCACAUCCUGACAUGAGGAAAAAGACUUUAUUGAAGACUACAAUGAGAAAAACUAUCAGACAGCAGACGGCUGCAUUCAAGAGAGGAAGACCAUCAAACAUCCACGUCAGCUGAUGGAGGUCCAAGAGUCUCACCCAACAAACAACCUACAGAGUGAAGACCUCAAAUCUGAUUGGACGGCCUCCUAUUCAGCCACGUUUUAGGCUGUUAGAUUGUUCCAGAUAAGACAAGAUUCUUCAGAGCUGUUCUACCACGAGCCUGACAGGAAGAACUCCAACAGCUACUGAAUGUUCCUGUGGUCCCCUCAAGGUUACAGGAGGAGUCCUACGAGGACGAGCUGGUCCACCUGAUGGCGGCCAGUCGCUGCGGUUCAAAGCCAACACCGACUACGUGGACUUCUACUGGACCACACGGAGGCCUUCAAACCGGACCAACAAGUUCAGCGACUCCCCGACUCGUGGGUCUGAGGACGCCGCCGAGCCUCGGUCCAGCCGGCCUCCUGUCUGUGGGUGUUUGAGUGCUGAGAGGUUUGUGGAUGCAUGUGAACGUGUCUGUGUUGAAACAGCAGCUUUUGACUCAGUAACGCUGGUAAAAACCAAGAGCUCCUUUAUUUGUGACUUCCACUAAAAAAACUGAUG